UCCCCAACCAUCCCCCAACCCCACCUCGCGAAAAUCACCAUGGCCCUCUCCCUAUAGACGGCGGCGAAUUCGCAGGGAGCAUAGGACCUACCCCACCUCGCAACCUCACCGCCGCAGCCAGCAUAAACCCGUCUUCAUGCCCUAGCCUCUAGAAGCUCCUCCGCAGGCGGAAAUCACUGGGUGCGUCCCCUCUCUCUCUCAAUUGAGAUACACGGUUAGGAGAAUACUGUCCAGCUUUCAGCCAUAUGGAUUAACAGAAAGUAGAUGCAGGGGUCAGACCAUUAAAUCCGACAUUUUCAGUAUAAUAGGAAAUCAGAUUGGUCUGGAGGGGGCUGUCAGCAACAUGUGUGCCCAACAUUUAGUAAGCUGUCUAUAUGGAAGUUAUGCAUGUUCUCAUAGAUGCACCUUCGAGAGGGAAAGAGAGUCAAACCUGCUAUAUGUACUUGCUAUUGAGUUGUACACUUCAAAACGUUAAGGGGCAUGUAACUAGCAGUUUAAUAUA
Long non-coding RNA from Carya illinoinensis, 502 nucleotides. RefSeq lists it as uncharacterized. The transcript is spliced from 3 exons. The record is from RefSeq and is a predicted model, not a curated record. NCBI's taxonomy places the organism in Eukaryota, Viridiplantae, Streptophyta, Magnoliopsida, Fagales, Juglandaceae.